UUCCUGUCCCUCCAGAGCCUGGACACCCCGUCCAAUCCGGUUCACAGUGAAGCACUACUGCAGGGGUAGAGGAAAGAGCCUGGCCGGCAGCUUCUCCAGGGGAAGGGCCUGUGCGCACACCCCUCCAGGAACAGGGUGAGCAGGAAGUACCGGCUGUGAUGCUGCCGUCAUGGGGUCAGAAAUUGGAAGGAUGAAGAAAUCUGCCAUCUGAAAGCUCACCUUUCAGACGUAUUUUCUUUACUCGUAUCCCAGGAACAUCCAUUUUAAGGAACUGAUCUUUGGAGGAAAAAACAAAAAACAAAAACAAAAAAAGAAAAAAAAAAGCUAAGUUAUAAGUGAACUGUCUGGCUGCACUGUGUGUCACUUUUGCUUAUUGUUAUGUGAACUUGGAAACUAAGGUUACGUGUAUGCAUAAAAGUUCUAAAUGAAAGGGUGUGGUUUCCAUCACUUUGGUACUGCCCAUCAUUUGCACUGGGGUCACUGUGGAUUGGGCAGGAGAGGCCACUGUGCCUGCCGGGUGUUGCUUCUCUUCUGUGUCUGUUUAAUCCGAGGCAGUACCUGGAGGGCCAGACCACCGCUCUAUGAAAGCGGGGAGUGGCAAGGGCAGGCGUGAGUUAGACUGGGUGAGUUGCUUUGUUGUUGGCACUUGGUUUCUGUGGAGCUUGGGGUAGAUGCAGAGGGGGCUGCCCUGUGUCCUGCUUAGUCCUAGCGGGCAGCUGCAGGCCUCCUGGCCAGAGGGAAGAUGUGGUUCUGCAGGGCCCCGAGGCAGUUGUUGACAGCUCUGUUGAUAAUGUGCUAGACCCUAGAGCUAUCUAGCACAGCCACAGUCUUGCCUUCUUGGCUCUUUCCAUCUCUCAGUGCUUGUUAGUGCUUGAGGCUUGAAGUUCAUCUCUCCUACGGAAGCGCCCUGUUUUAUCCUAAAGUGAAUGAGAGGCUUCUGGCCAGUGGCUGCCAGGGUCUUCCUGCCUUCGAUGAUGUUUGCUUCCUCAGAGCAGAAGGGCUGCUUUUCCAGAGAAAGUGCAGAGCUAAAGGAGUUAGAUGGUGAGGCAGCAGGUGGUCGGCAGGCAUUCUGGUACCCAGUUGUAGCCAGGCUUUGGUUAUCCUCUCCCAGCUGCAUGUCUCAUGUCUCUUAGAUUUGCAUACAGCCUCAUACAGUGCAAAGGAAGAUGUGAUCUCUAAACAAAAAGGAAUAAAAACCUAAAAUGAUGAUAUUCUACUCAGGGUAAAACAAACAAACAAACCCCUUCCACCAAAAAGCCUGAAGCUUGCAGUCAGUUUACCUCAUUUGGAAUGUUUUGUUGAGUUGUGUUACAGGAAUUUUUUUUUAUUAGUGUAUAAAAUUAUACCCAUCUCCUUGCCUUUGGCUCCUGGUUAUUGCCUCUUCAAACAUAAGUACAAUCUAUAGGAGAAUGGGGGUGUGGCUGUCCUUCGGCUGUUUACUGUAGCCAUCAGUGCUUGGCAAGGUCAGAAGGUAGCUGGGUCUGGGACUGGAGGAGGCGUCUGUCUCCAGCAAAGAGCAGGGUCUGGUGCCCCAACAGGACAACCAGAGAGCUGUGUAGGUUGCCCUCCUGCAGUCUGGACCUUUCCUCAGAGCCAGCUAGGAUGGUGACCCUUGUCUUUAGGCAAGGUAUUUAGGGACAAUUGGCCAAGAGGGUCAUGGCAGCACUAUUGAGAAAUGGCACAGGUACAAGCAGCUGAUCUCCCAUUCCAGGAUUGGACCAGGAGUAUGAAUUUCUGAUGUUCUACACCCCCACACCCCACACACACCCAAAAAAGGUUGAUGGAUUUGGGCAACCAUAGACCUCAGCAGGAAUCUGCACGGUGUGAGGAGCCCCCUGUUGGCGCCGUGGUUAGUCCUUCUGGGAACCAGCUGCUUGGGUGUAGAUUGUCCUCAGCUGUCUCUAGGACUUGCACUCACAGGAAGCUUUGCACUCGGGCCCUCACUCGUUUCUCUUCUCUGAGGAGAGCAGUGAAUGGGACCCCCAAAGUGAGCUUGUAACAAGGGGUAGUAAUGGCCCUCCCACUCACUCUGCCUAUGACACCCUGGGAGCUGACAUAGGAAACAGGAGCCUAGGGAGGAUGUAUGGAAGGUUUCAAUGGUUUAAAUAUGGCUUCUUGGUUUGCUAGGGCUGUGCUCUUAAUGGUCCAUUCCUAGGUUAUUGGCUUUUCACCCUCCACAGUUGGCAUGGUGAAGAAACAUUUGAGCAGUGUUGAGGCUGAAGUGUUGCUAGGUGAAGGAGCUAAGUGAUUUUAGAACACAAGAGACUCUCAGAACCUAAGAGGUUUUGGAAAGUGAGGACUCUGCUUGCAGUUGGUGGUUGUGGAGAGCCAAUGUGUGAAACAGGGUAGACAGACGCUUCGGCCAUGCUUGUACCAGUGGUCCUUCCCCCAUCUUUCCACAAGCCCAGCCUCUAAUGCUAAGGACCUUGGAGAAGAGGGAACCUCCUGGCUAAACUAGAACCACGAAGACCCUUCAUGGAGUGGUUUCGCCAGGGAAUGACCUUAGGGUAAGGCCAAGAAGAGUGAAUUCUGGCAAGUCGAUUAAGCCUUUCCUUCCACGACAGCCAUCACCACUGUCACCCUGUAGACGAGACUUGGGUUACCACUAGCAUCUCCAGUUUAGCCUCUUCCAAGAGACUAGUUGGCAGCAGGGCUGAUGGACCUAGGAGGUGGUCAGGUGAUCUUGGUCCCACCCAAUUGCCUUAUAAAUGUGGUCCUUCCCAGGCAGGAGGGUAAGGCUGAGAGAAGAGAGCUCAGUGCCCUUGGGCAGCACUAGUUUGGCCACAGGAGUACUGUCCUCUGUUGACUUUGGUUCAUAAGAUGAUGGUACAAUGCCAAGGAGAGGCUUGGGGUGUGGAGAGCCCUCUAGGUAGAAGGCAAUGGGACUCCCCUUCCCUUUCAGAGUCAGUGGAUGGGAAAAGGUUGUUUUCCGGAUCAAGGCAGUGGGCUGAUGGGGUAAUGGAGGUGCCUGAGUUUUGCCUGAGGCUUUGUAUUAUGCUGAAUGUGUCCAGAGGGACAAAUUUGCAGAACCUCAUAUUGAUAUUUUAAAUAAUAAAAUAAAAAGCACUUUAGGUUACUUUUAUCUUUAACCCAAUUGCUGCAAUUUCUGUUGUGUAUGUAUAUAUACAUAUAUAUACUUUCCCCAAAGUUUUAUUUUUUGCUCAGAAUAAAAGUUAAGUUGAGGUGUAAAAAGAGCACUUACUUGGGUGCAAUAUAUGCGUAGCUUGACAGUCGCUAUCCCACGUGGCCCUGGCCUGGCCUUCUGCUCCAUCAGCCCUGUGCUGAAGCUGGCCACAGGGAACCACUAUCAGCAUCUCAGCAGCUGCUCAAUCUAUGCAAGCCUUCCUGUGUGUCCGGGGCGCCCCCCUCAGGCCCUCCAAGGAACUGCUGCAGCUGUUUUCUUCUGACUGUUGAGGCCCCUUUUCAACUGCUUCUCCGCCGUCCCCUGCUCUUUCCCCUCUUCCCCAGAACAAAAUGAUUCCUGAAAGGAAGGGUCGGUUGUUCCUAGGUAGAAACCUGGCACCUUUAGACUUUCAUAUUUGUAAACACAUCCAUUGAAGGGAAGCGUCUCCAGUGUCACUGAGACUGUUGGUGUGUGGAAGUGCACUACUGUCGCGAAUUUACAGCUUUUUCACAGCCCCAAUCAGAAAUAUGUCGGAAGGCUCUCUGCACCACCUCUGUUGGCUCAAAAGCAGAAUGACUUCCACGCUUCAUCAAAUCCAUUUAGGAAGCCGUUAAUGACCUCCCUCACCGGCUCCCACUUACUCUUAAAUUCCCAACUGUAGAGGCAUUUUAAAUAUACUCCAGCCAGUGCAAGAUUUUCACAGAUGAAGUUUGCAAGUGGUUGUGCUGUGACACAGAUGGGAAAUUGUCCAUCUCUCCUCUGAGGCAGAAGGGGAUGAGCCAUAAAACUGGAUCAUACAUAUUUCUGAUUGGUCUGUUUCUUGCAUAUUCUUGGAUCUUGUUUCUUAUGCCCCUGCUCUUGGGGAGGUUGGUCAUUAGCCCAGGCAUCUCUCACUGUUCUGGCGGCUUGAGGGCUUCUCAGUCUGCGUUGAAAAUGCAAGUUUAAUUGGAUCUGUCAAAUUAUAUUAUAGUACAACCUUUUUCUAGAACUGGCGUGUAAAAACCAUACACUGCUCCUUGGUGGUGGCUCACUGGGACAAAAAUAGGUGAUAAUGUCAUGUCACUUUCUCAAUUCAAUGCAAUUUCUACUUUUUUUUUUUUUAAACAGGUAAUGUUUUCAUAAAACUUUUUUCCACCAAAAUCUGGGGUGUUUAUUGUAGUAUCCCCGUGUCCCUCGAGGUGCCAAGUCAGGGGCUUGCCCGCCCUUGCCGCGGGUGUUCUCAGGCUUCCCAAGGGCUGUGUGAGUCAACAGCCUGCAUCUUUGGUUGUGCUUUGGAGAAAAUGUCACUGAGGUUGGAGUCCCAGGUAGCUAGUCCCUUUUCCUGGGAAUUCCCUGUUGCAGUUUGGGGAAGGUGGCUGGAAAACGGGCUUUUCUGGUUGCCUGGCUCAGAUCUAGCCAGAAAAGGCCACAAACUCUUUUCUAACACAAACUAAUCAUUGGCCAGUGGUCUUGGUGACAAGUUUUUAAGUCCCAAAUAGUUUUAUUUGAAUUAUGUAAAAGUACCAAGUUUAUUUUAAAUGUAAAACAUGGGAACAACGGACUUCCACUGAGCGAUAUGAAAACGUUACAGGUUCAGUACUUCCAAAGGAAGAAACCUCCAACCCCUAAAAAGAAUAAAUACGAAUUUGUAUUUUUGAAGAAUGUGAAAUAAUAGUGUUUGCUUAAUUGCUCAUUUUGUAUAAACUUAAUAUUGUACUUUAAAAUAUCUGCUAUGAAGUGAAAAUUUAACUUUUUGGAAUUGAAAAAGCAAUAUUAAAUACUAAUGAAAUCUUAAUUAAAUGCUUAUUU
RNAcentral lists this long non-coding RNA (4912 nucleotides) under Mus musculus (house mouse). RNAcentral describes it as "long non-coding RNA chr4:124844464-124849376". The record is from RNAcentral. Lineage: Eukaryota; Metazoa; Chordata; Mammalia; Rodentia; Muridae.